AAAUAGAACUACGUGGCUACAUUAAUCAAAACAGCUUAGUGCUGGUACAAAAAGAGACACAGAAAAAUGGAACAGAAUAGGGCACUGAGAAAUAAUGCUGGAGACCUACAACCAUCUGAUCUUCAACAACCCUGACGAAUACAAGCAAUGGGGAAAGUACUCCCUAUUUAAUAGAUAAUGCUGGGAGAACUGGCUAGCCAUAUGCAGAAAAUGGAAACCGAACCCCUUCCUUACACCUUAUACAAAAAUGAACUCAAGAUGGAUUACAGACUUAAAUGUAAAACCCCAAACUAUAAAAACCCUAGAAGAAAAUCUAGGCAAUACCAUUUAGGAUAUAGACAUGGGUAGAGAUUUCAUGACGAGAAUGCCCAAAGCAUUUGCAACAAAAAAAUUGACAAAUGUGAUCUAAUUAAACUAAAACCUAAUAUUGACAAAUGACAAGAGACAAAAUUAAAUUAAAAGCAAAAAUUGACAAAAGCAAAAAUUGACAAAUUAAACUAAAGCAAAAAUUGACAAAUGCGAUCUAAUUAAACCAAAGAGCCUCUGCACAGCAGAAGAAACUAUCUCAGCAUGAACAGACAACAUUAAGAAUGAGAGAAAAUUUUUGCAAUUUAUUCUUCUGACAAGGGUCUAAUGUCCAGAGUCUCUAAGGAACUUAAACAAAUUUAGAGCAAAAAAUAAACAACCCCAUUAAAAGGCUGGCAAAGGACAUGAAUAGACACUUCUUAAAAAAAGACAUACAUGAUGCCAAUAAUCAUACGAAAAAAAGCUCACCAUUACUAAUCAUUGGAGAAAUGCAAACCAAAAACACAAUGAGAUACCAUCUCACACCAGUGAGAAUGGCGAUUAUUAAAAAGUCAGAAAACAAUAAGCUAGGCAUGGUGACUCACACCUGUAAUCCCAGCACUUUGGGAAGCCAAGAUAAGUGGAUCACUUGAGAUCAAGAGUUCAAGACUAGCCUGUCCAAUAUGGUGAAACCUCAUCUCUACUCAAAAUGCAAAAAUUAGCCAGAGGUGGUGGUGGAUGCCUGAAAUCCCAGUUCCUUGAGGGACUGAGGCACAAGAAUCGCUUGAACCUGGAAGGCGGAGGCUGCAGUGAGCUGAGAUCGUGCCACUGCACUCCAGCCUGGGUGACAGAACAAUAUCCCUUCUCAGAUUAAAAAAAAAAAAA
This 1170-nucleotide long non-coding RNA is filed under the name Macaca fascicularis (crab-eating macaque). Its description in RNAcentral is "lncRNA (ENSMFAG00000064345.1)". Lineage: Eukaryota; Metazoa; Chordata; Mammalia; Primates; Cercopithecidae. The record is from RNAcentral.